GAUGAACGCUAGCGGCAGGCUUAAUACAUGCAAGUCGUGGGGCAGCAGGACUGUAGCAAUACAGUUGCUGGCGACCGGCAAACGGGUGCGGAACACGUACGCAACUUACCCUGCACUGGGGGAUAGGCCGGGGAAACCCGGAUUAAUACCCUGUAAUAUAAUGGAGUGGCAUCACUUUAUUAUUAAUGCUUCGGCGGUUCGGGAUGGGCGUGCGGCUGAUUAGGUAGUUGGUUGAGGUAACGGCUCACCAAGCCUACGAUCAGUAACUGGUGUGAGAGCACGACCAGUCAAGCGGGCACUGAGACACGGGCACGGCGCCUCCGGGAGGCAGCAGUAAGGAAUAUUGGGCGAUGGAGGCAACUCUGACCCCGCCAUGCCGAGUGGGGGAUGAAGGCCGUCUGGGUUGUACACUUCUUUUAUAGGGGACGAAACCUGUGUAUUAUUCCGCAGUUGACGGUACCCUAGGAAUAAGCACCGGCUAACUCCGUG
This 489-nucleotide ribosomal RNA is filed under the name uncultured bacterium. RNAcentral describes it as "partial 16S ribosomal RNA". It matches the Rfam family "Bacterial small subunit ribosomal RNA", at positions 28 to 507 of the family's 1533-position model. The record is from RNAcentral.